CAGUAGCCACGGUAAUACGGAGGGUGCAAGCGUUAAUCGGAAUUACUGGGCGUAAAGCGCACGCAGGCGGUCUGUCAAGUCAGAUGUGAAAUCCCCGGGCUUAACCUGGGAACUGCAUUUGAAACUGGCAGGCUAGAGUCUUGUAGAGGGGGGUAGAAUUCCAGGUGUAGCGGUGAAAUGCGUAGAGAUCUGGAGGAAUACCGGUGGCGAAGGCGGCCCCCUGGACAAAGACUGACGCUCAGGUGCGAAAGCGUGGGGAGCAAACAGGAUUAGAUACCCGAGUAGUCCCUGUCUCUUAUAC
Molecule: ribosomal RNA, 301 nt
Filed under: uncultured bacterium
Lineage: Bacteria
Description: partial 16S ribosomal RNA
Rfam family: Bacterial small subunit ribosomal RNA
Source: RNAcentral